AGCUAAGAUCACGUGCAGUAUCUGUUCUUAUCAGUUAAUAUCUGAUACAUUCUCCAUUCAAGAACAAUAUAUUAAAUGGAGUUUUGGAAAUAGGAGAUGGAAUAGGAGCUUGUCACGUCCACACAUUGACCUGGUAUGGUAGUAACUUCAGGAAUGGUGUAUCCCCUUGGGGGGAAAAAGCCAAGAAAACGUACUUGUACAGUCAAACCAUGGGAGAAGGAAUGGAAAAAUCUAUCAGGUAUUGAAAGAGACAUUGAGAGACUUCCCUAGCAAACGAAGAGACAUAUAGAAAAGAAAAUCAAUCUGGGGGCUUAUGUUCUAGGAGAGAUCACGGAGAAUAUGAAGGGGGAAAAGGACACUUGUGCUUCCAGAUUAAAAGGGCCUAUUAAAUGCCCAGCAUAAUAGAGAAAAAUGGACCCUACAUUAGAACACUAGGCUUAGAGAAAAAUGUCUUACAAUCUUCCAGAGAAAAAACAGAUAUCAUAUAAUCAGAAUGGUGCUGGGGCUCUUAAUAGUAACACUCCAUGCUAGAAGAUGGUGGAGUAAUGCAAUGCCUUUCAUAUUUUCAGGGAAAUGGUUUCUAAUUCAGAAUUCCAUACUCCAGCUGUGUUAAGGAGGUUAUUAGUUAGACCAGAAGAGGAAGAUAUUGGAUCCAGGAACUUAAGACCUUAACUCAUGAAAGGUAACUGGAACCCCAAGGCUGUGGCUAAAGGAAUCUUAGGGUAGCAGGUGCAAAGAAUGUUCAGUCCAUUAGAAGGAUCUGGACAGAUUUCUUGAAGGAGCUGAAAAAGAUGGAAUGUUGUUUUUUUUUGAGGGGUUGUUUUUUUUUUUUUUUUUUUUGAGACAGGGUCUCACUAUGUAGCCCAGGCUGGCCUUGAACUUGAGGGACUCCUCCUGCCUCAGCCUCCUGAGUGCUGGGAUUACAGGCAUGCGCCACUAUGCCUAGCUCAGUGAUGAACAUUGUUUUGUUUCAAAUGAUUUGAGAGGAUAUAUAGGCUUUUAGAAGAGUAUGGGCUAAAUUAGUGAUCAAUUCAGAGAAUAAGAAAAUUUAAAAAUUACAGCUAUUCAGGAAAAACAAAGUUGUCUUAAGAUGAG
RNAcentral lists this long non-coding RNA (1095 nucleotides) under Heterocephalus glaber (naked mole-rat). Its description in RNAcentral is "lncRNA (ENSHGLG00000039116.1)". The stretch from base 1 to 167 matches the Rfam family "U2 spliceosomal RNA". The record is from RNAcentral. Lineage: Eukaryota; Metazoa; Chordata; Mammalia; Rodentia; Bathyergidae.